Molecule: ribosomal RNA, 469 nt
Filed under: uncultured Rickettsiales bacterium
Lineage: Bacteria; Pseudomonadati; Pseudomonadota; Alphaproteobacteria; Rickettsiales
Description: partial 16S ribosomal RNA
Source: RNAcentral
CACGGAGUUAGCCAGGACUUUUUCUGUAGGUACCGUCAUUAUCUUCCCUACUAAAAGAGCUUUACAAUCCGAAGACCUUAAUCACUCACGCGGCAUAGCUGGGUCAGGCUUUCGCCCAUUGCCCAAUAUUCCCCACUGCUGCCUCCCAUAGGAGUCUGAACCGUAUCUCAAUUCCAGUGUGGCUGAUCAUCCUCUCAGACCAGCUAUAGAUCACCGCCUUGGUAAGCUAUUACCUUACCAACUAGCUAAUCCAAUAUAGGCUCAUCUAAUAGCGAUAAAUCUUUUCCUCGUAAGGAGCAUACGGUAUUAGCUGUCAUUUCUAACAAUUAUUCCGUACUAUUAGGUAGAUUCCUAUACAUUACUCACCCGUCUGCCACUAAAGCAUACUAUAGUAAACUAUAAUAUAACCCUGUUCGACUUGCAUGUGUUAAGCUUGCCGCAGCGUUUGUCUGAGCCAGGAUCAAACUCU